GCGGAUGUGGCGGAACUAGGCAGACGCGCGGCGUUCAGGUCGCCGUGGGGGCAACCCCGUGGAGGUUCGAUUCCUCUCAUCCGCA
RNAcentral lists this transfer RNA (85 nucleotides) under Solirubrobacterales bacterium. RNAcentral's name for it is "tRNA-Leu". It matches the Rfam family "tRNA". From Rfam's summary of the family: Transfer RNA (tRNA) molecules are approximately 80 nucleotides in length. Their secondary structure includes four short double-helical elements and three loops (D, anti-codon, and T loops). The record is from RNAcentral. Lineage: Bacteria; Bacillati; Actinomycetota; Thermoleophilia; Solirubrobacterales.